This 774-nucleotide ribosomal RNA is filed under the name uncultured Neocallimastigales. RNAcentral's name for it is "partial large subunit ribosomal RNA". It matches the Rfam family "Eukaryotic large subunit ribosomal RNA", at positions 24 to 634 of the family's 3401-position model. The record is from RNAcentral. Lineage: Eukaryota; Fungi; Neocallimastigomycota; Neocallimastigomycetes; Neocallimastigales.
UAUCUCUGUAGAGUCUGCAUAUCAAUAAGCGGAGGAAAAGAAACUAACUAGGAUUCCCUCAGUAACGGCGAGUGAAGCGGGAAGAGCUCAAAUUUGAAAUCUUCAAGGUUCUACCUUGACGAAUUGUAGUUUAAAGAAGUGUUUUCUGUUGGAGUUUUGGUAAAAGUUCUUUGGAAUAGGACAUCAUAGAGGGUGAGAAUCCCGUAUUUGACCAUUAUUUCCAGCUUUGUGAUACACUUUCAAAGAGUCGGAUUGUUUGGGAAUGCAGUCCAAAAUGGGUGGUAAAUUUCAUCUAAAGCUAAAUAUUGGCGAGAGACCGAUAGCGAACAAGUACCGUGAGGGAAAGAUGAAAAGAACUUUGAAAAGAGAGUUAAACAGUACGUGAAAUUGUCAAAAGGGAAGCGUUUGACACCAGUGUUGUUUUCUCGAAAAUCAAUUAAAAAUGGCUUGAUUUUGUGUUGUAUUGACCUUAAAAGCUUUCUUCACUUUUUUCAUGUCUUUUUUAAUGCACUUUUCGUUUAACAAGUCAACAUCAGUUUCUUUUGUUGUAAAAAGGUCAUUGGAAGGUGGCUUUCCUUUCGGAGAAAGUGUUUAUAGCCUUUGACUUCUGCAAUCGGAGAGACUGAGGUCUGCAGCGUAGAUCCUUCUGGAUUAGAUUCAUUUGUGCUAAGUUACAACCGUUUAUAGACAACUUGUUGACUAUAUUCGAUCCUGUAGCUUACUCGCUUAUGUAAUUUUACCUACGCUUAGGAUGUUGAUAUGCAUGACUGAUAU